Long non-coding RNA from Episyrphus balteatus (marmalade hoverfly), 763 nucleotides. RefSeq lists it as uncharacterized. NCBI's taxonomy places the organism in Eukaryota, Metazoa, Arthropoda, Insecta, Diptera, Syrphidae. The transcript has 4 exons. The record is from RefSeq and is a predicted model, not a curated record.
CUGCCAAAAAAAUAACAAACAAAAAAAAAAAAUGGAAUAUCAAACCAACUAGAAUUGUAUAAUGGAUCAUUCACGCCCGCAUCCGCCUGUUAAGAAAAAAAAAGGAUUUUCUUUACUAAAUCUGCUGGGGCUGCAUUUUCUUUUGUUAAAAAAAAAAUGAGGAAUAUGGAGUAAUCUAAAAAGGCAAUUUCUUCUUGGUUUGGGCUUUCAAGGCCAUAUUAGUUGCAUGGGAAAUCACAUUCGCACAUUUGUUUCCAAACGUCAUUGAGUUCCUGUUAGAUGCUCAGAUAUUCGAUGUGAUUUUUUGCAAUUGCAAAUGGGCGAGUAUACGACAAUAGUGUUGUGAUAUAUUGUGAUUGGAUGGAAGGUUAAUGACUGUUCGAGUAUUUGUUGCAUCCUCUGUAUGAGACAAAACUACACAUACGCAAUUGAUUCUCUUUGUAUUCGAGAAGGUACUCAAUGUUGAGCCCAUUUUCUUUGCAUUAAGAAUUGGCGAGCGGUUUAUGAAAGAACAUAAAGCAAGAAAUAUUAUUUGGCUGUCGUGACAAAGUUUUUGUGUCCCCAUCUUUAAGAGUAUACAAAAAACUCUCCAUCUGUUCUCAUCGGUGACGGAGGAAUCAACACUUGCACCAGGUCGUGUAUAUUAAUAUGCUUGUAAGACAAAUGGAGCUUGAACGCUUGUCUUUUGAACUCCAGUUCGCCUGCCAUUUAGUAGAUGGCGCAAACCCACGUAUCUGAGAAAAAACACUUUAAAUUUAUGAUU